This 414-nucleotide ribosomal RNA is filed under the name Geobacteraceae bacterium. RNAcentral describes it as "partial 23S ribosomal RNA". It matches the Rfam family "Bacterial large subunit ribosomal RNA", at positions 2517 to 2925 of the family's 2925-position model. The record is from RNAcentral. Lineage: Bacteria; Pseudomonadati; Thermodesulfobacteriota; Desulfuromonadia; Geobacterales; Geobacteraceae.
UUUGGCACCUCGAUGUCGGCUCAUCGCAUCCUGGGGCUGAAGUAGGUCCCAAGGGUUUGGCUGUUCGCCAAUUAAAGCGGUACGCGAGCUGGGUUUAAAACGUCGUGAGACAGUUUGGUCCCUAUCUACCGUGGGCGCAGGAUACUUGAGAAGAGCUGUCCUUAGUACGAGAGGACCGGGAUGGACGUACCGCUAGUGUUCCAGUUGUGUCGCCAGACGCAGUCGCUGGGUAGCCACGUACGGAAAGGAUAACCGCUGAAAGCAUCUAAGCGGGAAGCCUCCUUCAAGAUUAGGUAUCCCUGGGUGUAACAACCCCUGAAGGCCUGUUGUAGACCACAACUUUGAUAGGCCGGGUGUGUAAGUGCAGCAAUGCAUUUAGCUUACCGGUACUAAUCGGCCGUGAGGCUUGACCAU